AGUUUGAUUAUGGCUCAGAUUGAACGCUGGCGGAUGCUUUACACAUGCAAGUCGAACGGCAGCACGACUCUGGUCUGGUGGCGAGUGGCGAACGGGUGAGUAAUGUAUCGGAACGUGCCUAGUAGCGGGAGAUAAUCACGCUGAAAAGCGUAGCUAAUACGUAUACGCCCUUCGGGGGAAAGCGGGGGACCUUUCGGGCUCGCACUAUUAGAGCGGCCGAUAUCGGAUUAGCUUAGUUGGUGGGGUAACGGCUCACCAAGGCGACGAUCCGUAGCUGGUUUGAGAGGACGACCAGCCACACUGGGACUGAGACACGGCCUCCAGACUACGGGAGGCAGCAGUGGGGAAUUUUGGACAAUGGGGAAACCCUGAUCCAGCCAUCCCGCGUGUGCGAUGAAGGCCUUCGGGUUGUAAAGCACUUUUGGCAGGAAAGAAACGGCACGGGAUAACACCGUGCAACUGACGGUACCUGCAGAAUAAGCACCGGCUAACUACGUGCCAGCAGCCGCGGUAAUACGUAGGGUGCAAGUGUUAAUCGGAAUUACUGGGCGCAAAAGCGUGCGCAGGCGGUUCGGAAAGAAAGAUGUGAAACUUGCGAGCUUAACUUUGGAACUGCAUUUUUAACUACCGAGCUAGAGUGUGUCAGAGGGAGGUGGAAUUCCGCGUGUAGCAGUGAAAUGCGUAGAUAUGCGGAGGACUGAUGGCGAAGGCAGCCUCCUGGGAUAACACUGACGCUCAUGCACGAAAGCGUGGGGAGCAAACAGGAUUAGAUACCCUGGUAGUCCACGCCCUAAACGAUGUCAACUAGCUGUUGGGCCUUUCGCCUGGUAGCGCAGCUAACGCGUGAAGUUGACCGCCUGGGGAGUACGGUCGCAAGAUUAAAACUCAAAGGAAUUGACGGGGACCCGCACAAGCGGUGGAUGAUGUGGAUUAAUUCGAUGCAACGCGAAAACCUUACCUACCCUUGACAUGUCUGGAAUCCCGAAGAUUUUGGGAGUGCUCGCAGAAACCGGAACACAGGUGCUGCAUGGCUGUCGUCAGCUCGUGUCGUGAGAGAUGUUGGGUUAAGUCCCGCAACGAGCGCAACCCUUGUCAUUAGUUGCUACGAAAGGGCACCUAAUGAGACUGCCGGUGACAAACCGGAGGAAGGUGGGGAUGACGUCAAGUCCUCAUGGCCCUUAUGGGUAGGGCUUGGCCAUCACUGUCAUACAAUGGUCGGGACAGAGGUCGCCAACCCGCGAGGGGGAGCCAAUCCAGAAACCCGAUCGUAGUCCGGAUCGGUAGUCUGCAACUCGACUGCGUGAAGUCGGAAUCGCCAGUAAUCGCGGAUCAGCAUGUCGCGGUGAAUACGUUCCCGGGUCUUGUACACACCGCCCGUCACACCAUGGAGUGGGUUUUACCAGAAGUAGUUAGCCUAACCGUAAGGAGGGCGAUUACCACGGUAGGAUUCAUGACUGCAGGGGGGGUGAAGUCGUAUCAGCGUAG
This 1485-nucleotide ribosomal RNA is filed under the name uncultured Bordetella sp. RNAcentral's name for it is "partial 16S-23S ribosomal RNA intergenic spacer". It matches the Rfam family "Bacterial small subunit ribosomal RNA". The record is from RNAcentral. Lineage: Bacteria; Pseudomonadati; Pseudomonadota; Betaproteobacteria; Burkholderiales; Alcaligenaceae.